CAGCUGAGAGAGCGGAGAGCCGUGCUGAAAUCAUCUUGGGCUGAUGCUCACAAGUCCGGGUUAAGUAUACAGCAUGCUGUUAACAGUCCCACCACGUCUACUCCUUGUGUUUCUCUGCACAGGCCCGGUGCACCCAGGACGUGAUCCCAGAUGUCCUUCACUCCGGCGCCGGGACACCAUGGACCCUGGGUGCAUCCACAGUGGAGGACGCGAGCCAGGCCCCGGGCGAUGACUUCUCCCCCUCCGGUCUUCGAGAUCUCCACACCGAACCGCUUCGUUCCCCUCCGUGAGACAAGAUGCGACGCUGUGAUCAUUGGAGACUCCAUCGUCCGACACGUCCGUGCUACGUUAGCUGAAGGUAAAGUGCACACUCAUUGUUUGCCUGGUGCUCGAGUUCUCGAUGUUUCUGCGCAGAUACCCGCGAUCCUGAAGGCCGAAGAGAUCCACAGAGUGGUCGUGCUUCACGCCGGGGUUAACAACACCUCGCUGCAGCAGACGGAGACACUGAAAAAGGGACUUCAGCAGCCUGAUCGAGACGGUUCGCAGCACGACGCACGCGGUGACCAUCGUCGUGUCAGGACCACUGCCCACGUAUCGACGAGGACACGGAAAGUUCAGUAGACUUGUUGCUUUAAAUGAAUGGUUGUUGUCAUGGUGUAAAGAACAGAAACUGCUAUUUGUUAAUAACUGGAAUCUUUUCUGGGAGCAUCCUAGGCUGUUUCGCGCUGAUGGCCUGCAUCCCCAGCAGAGUCGGAGCGGAGCUGCUCUCUGACAACAUCUCCAGGACACUUCGCUCCAUGUGACUAAACUCCCUUGGUGAUUGGACAGUCAUCUCAGGUUUCCAGUGAGCAAGGCUGCCCGACCAGUGUUACCGACACUGGCUGUGAGUGAAACUCGGUUCCUCUUAUCUCUGUCCGUUGCGUACAUGCAGUGGCGACAUCAGCAAUUUGGCACUCCAACGAUAGUCAAUCAGUCCAGCCGACACACGACGCAAUCUCUGGGACCAGUACCUAAUCCUGGGCCUAAAUCGGGGCCACUCUUCUUUUAAGAGAGGGUUCUAGGGAACAGCCCAAUUUUUUAGUGCUGUCUGGCGGUUGACAUCUUGGUGUUGCCCGGUUGUGUUAAAAGUCACAAGCUCUUUGAGAGGGCACAGCGCCAGAGUAACAGAGGGCCAGGGACACUGCGGUCGAAUGUUUGGGGAGCGCCAGAGAGGUUGACCAAGCCACUGGUUUCCACCUGAAUGGCCUCAAUUCACCCAGGUGAAGCAAAUGUGAUAAAACCCAUCCACUUUUAUAAGCCACAGAAUAUUAGAUAUUCCCCCAGAUAUAUUUUAAGUGUUUGACCCAUUUGCUUCUUCAAGCCACACCAUAUUUCUAGGUUUCCUGCCCAGAUAGCCACACACCUGUUGGCCCUAUCUUAAAAUCUAGCAGUAGGCUUAGGCCUCCUUAUUCUCAGUAACACAUCGUGUUUCUAUUAUUUUUAUCUCAUUUCAAGUGUUGUGUUUCACUUUGUUCUUUUUCUAUCCUCUGUUCUGUUGUGAUUUGUUUCUUUCAUUUCACAUAGAGACAGUAACCUGUGAGAGCCACCAAAGAAGCUAAAUAGUAGAGCGACAACCAGCAGCCGAGGUCAUCACGCGCCCGCUAGGCUACUGCCUGUCAAAUCACAAGUUAAUUGGCUGCUGAACCGUCUGACUGUUUGGAUCAGUUAGCCCCAAAAUUCUCAUAAACGGCACAGCCCGUAUUAAUAUACGAUACGGAACAAUUCAGGAGAUCACCUAUUCCAUAUAUGUGUAGACUCUUAAAUGAUUAUGGAUUUUAAAUGGACUUCGCAUACCUUUAUUUAAGUAUUUUAUUCUUCUUUUUCUUUUAAUCUUGUAUUUUAACUUAAGUAAAUAUGCUUUGACAAUUCACUGUAACAGCAAAAUAAUUCAGUGUUCCCCUACGACAAACGUCUUUGGGUACCUGUAAUGAAGCUGAUAAAGUCAAUAAACAAACAAUAAUCAUAUAGCUUGUUAACCAUAGAACGAUCUUGCAUUGGUCUUUUUGUGUGUGUGCUGUGCUUCUCUCACCGACAGGGAGUCAGGAUGUUCCAGACAUCCAGUCCAGAAGUCCUUGGGGGCCACCUCUCAACAUGGUUGAAAGCCGUUAUGACCCCCUUCCUGCCCAAGGACGCCAGUAACCUGCAGCACCCAGAGCAACUAGAAACCGAGCUAGAUGAACUGAUGGCACACGAUCCAACCCAAAGCGACUACUACAAAGAACUUGCGAGGAUCCUCAGAAGCCUAGUUCACAUUCUCAUCGCCCAGGCACAGCUCAGUGAACGGAGCAACAUCGACCUUGAACAGCAAGCAGCAACGCUUAAGCUUCAAGCGGAGGAGGCCUGGAAGGACCAGUCCCGAACCCAGAGUCGCCUUGAUCAGCUCCUCCUCGAGACCCAGAACCAGCACGAGAAAGAGGACGACACAGAUCCAAAGCUACAGAAAAAAGUAGAAAAACUUCACAAUGCCCUGCAAGAUCUUCGCCUUGACACAGAUCAAAGAGAACAGCUGGAGAGAGAAGCCAGAAAAGAACUCAACAAAAAACUCCAGCAAGGUGACGCUCUCCUAAAAAUAGCAGAAACUGAACUGAAAGAAAGAGACUAUAAAACCUGGGCCUACAAAACACACUUGCAAGCGGCCCGAGCUAAAAUCAAUGAACUUACUCUGCAGAGAGACGAGCUCCAAGAUGAACUUGACACUGUUCACACAGAACUGAAAGAUUCUGACAGAUUACAGAGUGGCUGGAUUGGAGAAACGCACACCACAAAGUUUCUCCAGGCCCGCCACUCCAACCUUUUCAGCCAAGAACCCAGAGCUGAAAAAGGGGGUGUAAGCUCACGGCUCAAGAAAUCACCAGCCAGCUUACAAGAACACCGGUCAACAACGGAGGGGGGAGAACCCUUCCAGAGAAUGCAUGCCACUAAACCCUGCACGGCUCACAGAGAACUUGACAAGCUAGCCCGAAGCAUCCCUACGUUCAACCCAGAUCCUGCAGGAGGACAUGACGUUCACGCUUAUUUACUAGAUAUUGGCUUUCACUUGCAAACUCUCACCAACGUGACAGAUGUGAACACAUUGUACCUGUUAAAAAUCACGUCCAGCCGUGAUGUGCAUUGUGUUCUGGAUCGUCAACCAGAGACUGUCAAAGCGUACUACCAGCAACUGCUACAAACUUUGACUCUUGAAUUCUCUGAUCCAGACUCAGACCAUGGGCUCCUUAUUGCUAUGGACCUCAAACAGGGCCGACUUGAAAACCCACAGACUUUCUGUAGUCAGCUACGAAUAGCCUACUUCGGAGCAUGCAACGAACCAGGUAUGCAACAGGAUGUCGACUUAAAAACUCUGUUCCUCCGAAACCUACAUGCCAGUUGGAGUUUUCAUCUCAGAGUCCCAGCGUGUCUGCGUAACAUGACUACAAGAGUUACAGAACUUAGCCCACAAAGCUUGCACCAAGCAAAAGACUAUUUAUGAAAAGACUGUGAAAAACCCCAAAGUCUCUGUCUCUGAGCACUGCUUGGAGUUAACCCUAGAGGGCGCCCUACAACACCACAGUCACAGAACUUUUUACAGAGAGUCAAUACUGUUCCAAGCCAGCAGAGCAAGCGCUCUGAAAGAUUCUGGUACCGGCGACCCAAAAAGAGCGGAUCCCCACCGUCCAGGACACAAAGCCCCGACAGCCGGCAGUGGAACCACUCUCGAUAUGACACUGGUAAGCUCAAACCUGAGCCCACGUCAGAAAAACACAGGGCAGCCACGUCUGAGACAGCAGAGAUCCUGAGGGUGCUGAAAGAGCUUCUUUACAUGAAAACUCGCAAGACAGACAAGGAAGAUGAACCAGACAUCAUAUGUCUAAGCAUAAGAACUGAAACCAACACCCUGUCUAACUGCCAUCUGUAAGAGCCAAGCACCCAGAACACUGCUCAUCAUCCACAGACCACAGAGCUAACUGUCACAUCACAAGGUGACAGCAUAACCCAAGCUCCACAGCUGACAGCUGCACACCCUGAACGAGACAGCACAGGUUCUCACACGAGGUACCGCAAACACAAGGUACCAGAAAAUGCUGUUUUGACUACUUGCCUUUGCAGUGAGCUACACAAGACCGGUCCUAACCACCCAUCGUUUGUCACACCUGCCCUGAUGCCAACAUUCCUGGGCAGCCUUGUCAAAAAGGGGGUGGGCCGAAAUUGAGUGAGCAUGGAAGACCUGAUCGACACAGGAUCAAACCUGACGGUGAUUUCAUCUCACCUUUUCAAAAGACUCCAAUUUGAAGCUAAGAGACAAGAUCGAACUCUUACACCUCAAACUUGGAAACAGAAUGUACAGUCGUACAGCCAGAAUGACAUCCGGUUUGAACAGGUUGUUUCCAUUUACCUGACAAUCGGUCUGAUGAGUCUAGUACAUCCCAUUUAUGUCUCACCAAUGAACACUCAUACAUUUCUCAUCGGCAAAGACCUGUUAGACCACUUUGACCCUUUACUGAACUUCAAACAGCUAAAAGACUUUGCUCAAGUGCGAGAACCUCUUUCCCUCCAGCCACACCGGUUGCCAGAGCCAGACUGUCAAUUCACAGAGGUCACAGGAACUCCCACAGAGCCAGACGGUCAGGUCACAGAGGUCACGGGAACCCCACCUGCCAGCCGUGGUUCAAGUUCAAGCCUCUGCAACACGAACAGGGUAUGGUGGUACCAGCUUACACCAAAGGGGUCGCUGUUCGGCUCAACCUGCAAUGUGGUCAAACCUUAAACCACACGCUGGGUUUCUUCCAAUCCUCACCUGAAUGUGUGGAACUCGGACUCACACUUGAAGGCACACCCCUCACUGAAGUGUCAUCUUGUAUAGCCUACAUCCUGUGCAACAACUGCACGGUAACUGACAUUAACAUUCCCAAGGCCUACGGGCUGGGAUGGCUAGUGAGCCAUGACUUUAAUGACUUUGAACUUGUACUACCUGUCAUUGAGUCCAUUCCACCUGCACUGAUACCCGAAGGGAGUACAAACAACAUAUUGUUCACUGCACCCUUCAAAUUCGUCGCCAUCACAUCUGUCAUGUCGGUGAGCAAAGACCAGGUGAGCGGGAUGGAUCUGACAGAUGGAGGAGCCUUACACAGGUUUUCAAUCUCAAGUGCAGCAAAUUCUACAAGAUGCUCAUGCACUUCAGAGCGAUACAGAUCACCAAAAGACUCAGACAAGUUCUGUAUAAGCUCAAAGAAUACUGUGCCAAAGACUUUUUAGACUGUGGUCUUACCAACCUACGCACCCUGAUGCUCCUCCCACUUCUGUCAAACAGUACAAGAUUCCCAUCGCCUCACACAAACCAGUGCAGGAGAUCAUCGAAUCUAUGCUGGAGAAAGGUGUCAUCCAUCCAUGCAACAGCACCUACUCAGCCCUCUUCCGGCCCGCCCUCAAAACUAACUGCGAGUGGCGACCCACCAGUGACUACAGGAAACUGAAUCAACAAGUCACCUUUAUUUAUAUAGUGCUUUAAACAAAAUACAUUGCGCCAAAGCACUGAACAACAUUCAUUUGGAAAACAGUGUCUCAAUAAUGCAAAAUGAUAGUUAAAGGCAGUUCAUCAUUGAAUUCAGUUAUGUAAUCUCUGUUCAGUUUAAAUAGUGUCUGUGCAUUUAUUUGCAAUCAAGUCAAUGAUAUCGCUGUAGAUGAAAUGACCCCAACUAAGCAAGCCAGAGGCAACAGCGGCAAGGAACCGAAACUCCAUCGGUGACAGAAUGGAGAAAAAAACCUUGGGAGAAACCAGGCUCAGUUGGGGGGCCAGUUCUCCUCUGACCAGACGAAACCAGUAGUUCAAUUCCAGGCUGCAGCAAAGUCAGAUUGUGCAGAAGAAUCAUCUUUUUCCUGUGGUCUUGUCCUGGUGCUCCUCUGAGACAAGGUCUUUACAGGGGAUCUGUAUCUGGGGCUCUAGUUGUCCUGGUCUCCGCUGUCUUUCAGGGCAGUAGAGGUCCUUUCUAGGUGCUGAUCCACCAUCUGGUCUGGAUACGUACUGGAUCCGGGUGACUGCAGUGACCCUCUGAUCUGGACACAGACUGGAUCUGGUGGCCACGGUGACCUCGGAACAAGAGAGAAACAGACAAAUAUUAGCGUAGAUGCCAUUCUUCUAAUGAUGUAGAAAGUACGGUGUUAUGUGAAGUGUUCCGGUUCCAGUUUACCUAAUUAAUGCAGCCUAAAAAUCCUUUAACGGAUUUGGAUAUUAAAAGCAUAUUAGUAUGUUAUGUGUAUGCCAGAUUAAAGACCCAUCUCUUUAACCUGGCAUACACAUAACAUACUAAUAUGCUUUUAAUAUCCAAAUCCGUUAAAGGAUUUUUAGGCUGCAUUAAUUAGGUAAACUGGAACCGGAACACUUCACAUAACACCGUACUUUCUACAUCAUUAGAAGAAUGGCAUCUACGCUAAUAUUUGUCUGUUUCUCUCUUGUUCCGAGGUCACCGUGGCCACCAGAUCCAGUCUGUGUCCAGAUCAGAGGGUCACUGCAGUCACCCGGAUCCAGUACGUAUCCAGACCAGAUGGUGGAUCAGCACCUAGAAAGGACCUCUACUGCCCUGAAAGACAGCGGAGACCAGGACAACUAGAGCCCCAGAUACAGAUCCCCUGUAAAGACCUUGUCUCAGAGGAGCACCAGGACAAGACCACAGGAAACAGAUGAUUCUUCUGCACAAUCUGACUUUGCUGCAGCCUGGAAUUGAACUACUGGUUUCGUCUGGUCAGAGGAGAACUGACCCCCAACUGAGCCUGGUUUCUCCCAAGGUUUUUUUCUCCAUUCUGUCACCGAUGGAGUUUCGGUUCCUUGCCGCUGUCGCCUCUGGCUUGCUUAGUUGGGGUCACUUCAUCUACAGCGAUAUCAUUGACUUGAUUGCAAAUUAAAACAGACACUAUUUCAACUGAACAGAGAUGACAUAACUGAAUUCAAUGAUGAACUGCCUUUAACUAUCAUUUUGCAUUAUUGAGACACUGUUUUCCAAAUGAAUGUUGUUCAGUGCUUUGGCGCAAUGUAUUUUGUUUAAAGCACUAUAUAAAUAAAGGUGAUUGAUUGAU
RNA transcript from Carassius gibelio (silver crucian carp), 7086 nucleotides. RefSeq lists it as uncharacterized. The transcript has 4 exons. The record is from RefSeq and is a predicted model, not a curated record. NCBI's taxonomy places the organism in Eukaryota, Metazoa, Chordata, Actinopteri, Cypriniformes, Cyprinidae.